Carassius auratus (goldfish) is the source of this 2038-nucleotide RNA transcript. RefSeq lists it as uncharacterized. The transcript has 6 exons. Lineage: Eukaryota; Metazoa; Chordata; Actinopteri; Cypriniformes; Cyprinidae. The record is from RefSeq and is a predicted model, not a curated record.
AAGUUGCCAGAUUGGUGUGUUUUCCAGUAAUUGUUCAAAAUCCACAAUCCAAAAUUAUAAACACACACAUCUACUACAGUAUUGUGGCUCAUCAAAUGGCAUGUAAUAAAGGAAAUUAAGUGCUCUCUAAAGAAGGCUACAUUGUAAGGCUACGUGUCUGUCAUUUGCCUUAAAGAAAUAAAAGGGAACAACAGAAAUAUCAAAAUGCCACCUGUCUAAAGCUAUUUUAUUCCACCUGGUACAAACUAAUAUCUAAUUGAAAACUGACCAAUCUGCCAACACCGAUGGAAAAAAAUACUGGUAAAAAUGUAAGGAGUUCAUUUGUUCUCUCUCUCUAUCUCUUUCUUUUUUUAUCAGGUCCUUCAAAUUCUCCCCUCCUUUAUUUUAACCUCCCUCAACACAAACAUACAAACAUACACACACACACACACAAACCAAAGGCACUUUUAAGAGCCACGUCCGUCUUGUUACCCUGCACUUGUCUGUCUGUAGCUCUCUCUCUCUCUCUCUCUCUCUCUCUCUCUGUUUAUAAUUCUAUUUGUUGUCUCUGUCCAUCUUUUUUGUAAGUCUUUCUGUCUGUUUUUGUUUCUGCCCAUCACCAUGAGUGAUUCAGAACUCCAAGAACAGUUAAUGGAGCUGGAUAAACUGGUUGAUGAUCAAGAACUCAAUGAUGAGCUCCAAAGUCUUGAUGACUUGAUUGGUGAGCUGCAGGAAGAGAAGGAAGUGGCACCAGUAAAGACACCUGAACCGAGGGUGCGUUGGAGAAAGAGAGACAUUGAUGGAAACAUUGUCUAUGCAAGGCCAAGAUCAAGCAGGAAUCAGUCAAAUAAGGCUGAUCCCAUUCGGAAAUCUGAUCCUCCCAUCAAUGCACCUGCCACUAACUGUGAGGUGACCUUUGCUCCAGAGGCUGUUGAGUCUUUUCUGCAAGAUCUCCAGCACUCACUGAGCAAUACCUCAGAUGAUGAGGCAUCAUCUCUUGAGACCUCAAGAGGUCCUCUCCUAGCUUCCUCAAACUGGAGCACAAGACAAAGUCUCUUUUCAGAGAGAUGGAGGACAGAGAGACCACGUCUGGUGAACACCGCUGCGGCACAUGAAAAUGUAGCAACACGCAUCUGCCAACAGUGUGGGAGCAAUCCAGCUGCUGUCCGCUGCAGUGACUGUCGACCACAGCCCUUUUUCUGUGCUCAGUGUGAUGUCAGUAUGCACACCAGACAUGUUCUCCAUAACAGAGAUGCCAUGACGGCUGGAUCCUACCAGCCAUUGCCUCCAACAACUUUUGUUGUAGAUAAGGCUCUUUCCCAUUGUGUACGGCUUGUACCUGUGGAGAUCCCUUACAAAAUCUGUGAUUGUUCACGAGAGUCACUAAGGGUCAGUCCAGGGAAGACUGUUGCUGUAAUCACAAUGAAUGGACGAUAUGAUCUAAGCAUGCCUGAGUUGAGUUGUGAGGCAUGCCAAGCCACGUGGGCUGCUGGAGUGGGUGAUCUAAAUCUGAGUGACUACUGGCCUGCAACCCUUCACUUUGCCACUAUUUAUGCCACAGAUGUCUUCUUCUCAUUUGAAGAAAUGAACAUGUCAACACUUUCUCAGCAUUAUUAUUAUUAUUAUUAUUAUUAUUAUUAUUCCUAAUCAGGUGAAAUGGAGUGGGGCAUAUCAGGAUGGGGCUGGUUUAACCCUAGGUGAGGAGGUGGAACAGUGCAAUGCUUUCCUGUCUAGGAUUGCAGUGACUACAAAACACAUGUCCAAAGCAGGUACAAUGACCACAUACUAUACUAGUUACAUUAUUACAUAAUAAGUAGGGGGAAUAUGGUAACAUGAUAUUCUCUGUUUGCAGGACGCACAGACAUGCUGACUCUCAUGGCCAUGCGCUGGAAUCAGCAAAAGAUCUACACUUUGGCCAUCACACUGACCCGCCGAUAUCAGAAGACCACAAAAGCUCUGCAAAACCAGUUGCUAAACCUAGAGUCUUUAAAAGUUGAACUGGCAGUGACAGAGAGCCAGUUGGAAGACUGGCUCAACGAAGUAAAGGAGUGGGCAGAUA